UAGGAUUUCCAUUAGAACCGCGGAAUUCCAAAGAAAUAAUUUGGAGCAAAAACUUAGCUGCAUUUUCACCAACGGCCAGAUUGAAAAAUUAAGGGAUGGAAACAAACGGCGAAAUUGGAAAGAAGAAGACAUAGCUAAGUCGAUCACGCUAUAUUCAACGAGCUCGAAAGCGUACAAACUCCUGUAUUCUUCGAAUAUGACUGCAAAAUGACGAAGGAAGAAUUGUUUAGCAUCUUGUCAAGUGUUAAAAAGUGCGCUUACAAUAUUGUUGACAUUUUAAGCGAUUUGGGUGGCUCAAAUAGAGGCGUAUAUAAUGUGGAAAAAUCUUGGUUUUCAGACAACGGAGACAGGAUUGUGGUUUUUGCUGAUGGGGGACACACUUAAUACUACUACAGAGAAAUCAUUUUUUGGAUAAGGGCUUUACUAUCAAUGGAAAAAUUGUUAGAAAACGCAUUAUUCUGAAGCUGCUCUCGCUUACGUCGAACGACCUCACCAUCACGCACAAAAUUUCCCAGAAGAAUUUGUCUGUAACAGGAGUAGAAAAGCAAAAGGUUAAACUAGCCACAAAAUUGUUCUCUCACACAAUUGUUCAAGCAAUAACUCGCGCGGCUAGUUUAGGUCUACUUCUUCUUAAUUGGCGUAGACACCGCUUUCGCGAUUAUAGCCGAGUUAACAACAGCGCGCCAGUCGUUUCUUCUUUUCGCUACGUGGCGCCAAUUGGAUAUUCCUAGCGAAGUCAGGUCCUUCUCCACUUGGUCCUUCCAGCGGAGUGGAGGUCUUCCUCUUCUUCUGCUUCCCCCGGCGGGUACUACGUCGAAUACUUUCAGAGCUGGAGUGUUUUCGUCCAUCCGGACAACAUGACCUAGCCAGCGUAGCCGCUGUCUUUUAAUUCGCUGAACUAUGUCAAUGUCGUCGUAUAUCUCGUACAGCUCAUCGAUCCAUCGAAUGCGAUAUUCGCCGUGGCCAAUGAGCAAAGGACCAUAAAUCUUUCGCAGAAUUUUUCUCUCGAAAACUCGUAACGUCGACUCAUCGGUUGUUGUCAUCGCCCAAGCCUCUGCACCAUAUAGCAGGACGGGAAUUAUGAGCGACUUAUAGAGUUUAACUUCUGUUCGUCAAGAGAGGACUUUACUUUUCAAUUGAAUACUCAGUCCGAAGUAACACCUGUUGGCAAGAGCAAUCCUGCGUUGGAUUUCCAAGCUGACAUUGUUGGUGGUGUUAAUGCUGGUUCCUAAAUAGACGAAAUUAUCUACAACUUCAAAGUUAUGACUGUCAACAGUGACGUGAGAGCCAAGUCGCGAGUGCGACGACUGUUUGUUUGAUGACAGGAGAUAUUUCGUUUUGCCCUCGUUCACUGCCAGACCCAUUUUCUGUGCUUCCUUGUCCAACCUGGAGAAAGCAUAACUAACUGCGCGGGUGUUGAGGCCGAUGAUAUCAAUAUCAUCGGCAUACGCCAGCAGCUGUACACUCUUAUAGAAGAUGGUGACUUCUAUAUUUAGUUCUGCAGCUCAAACUAUUUUCUCCAGAAGCAGGUUGAAGAAGUCGCACGAUAUGGAGUCGCCUUGUCUGAAACCUCGUUUGGUAUCGAACGGCUCGGAGAGGUCCUUCCCGAUUCUGACGGAGCUUUUGGUGUUGCUCAACGUCAGCUUACACAGCCGUAUUAGUUUUGCGGGGAUACCAAAUUCAGACAUCGCGGCAUAAAGGCAGCUCCUUUUCGUGCUGUCGAAAGCAGCUUUGAAAUCGACGAAGAGGUGGUGUGUGUCGAUUCUCCUUUCACGGGUCUUUUCCAAGACUUGGCGCAUGGUGAAUAUCUGGUCGGUUGUUGAUUUUCCAGGUCUGAAGCCACACUGAUAAGGUCCAAUCAGUUUGUUGACGGUGGGCUUUAAUCUUUCACACAAUACGCUCGAUAGAACCUUAUAUGCGAUGUUGAGGAGGCUAAUCCCACGGUAGUUGGCGCAUAUUGUGGGGUCUCCUUUUUUAUGGAUUGGGCAUAGCACACUUAAAUUCCAAUCGUAGGGCAUGCUUUCCUCCGACCAAAGUUAACAAAGAAACUGAUGCAUGCUCCUUAUCAGUUCUUCGCCGCCGUGUUUAAAUAGCUCGGCCGGCAAUCCAUCGGCCCAUGCCGCUUUGUUGUUCUUCAGGCGGGUAAUUGCUAUUCGAACUUCUUCAUGGUCGGGUAAUGGAACGUCUGCUCCAUCGUCAUCGAUUGGGGAAUCGGGUUCACCUUCUCCUGGCGUUGCGCGUUCACUGCCAUUCAGUAGGCUGCAGAAGUGUUCCCUCCAUAAUUUAAGGAUGCUCUGGGCAUCGGUCACUAGAUCACCUUUGGGGGUUCUACAUGAGUGUGCUCCGGCCUUGAAACCUUCUGUAAGCCGCCGCAUUUUUUCGUAGAAUUUUCGAGCAUUACCCCUGUCGGCCAGCUUAUCAAGCUCUUCGUACUCACGCAUUUCAGCCUCUUUCUUUUUCUGUCUGCAAAUGCGUCUCGCUUCCCUUUUCAACUCUCGGUAUCUAUCCCAUCCCGCACGUGUUGUGGUCGAUCGUAACGUUGCGAGGUAGGCAGCCUGUUUUCUCUCCGCUGCGACACGCCACUCCUCGUCGCACCAGCUAUUCUUUUGCACUUUCCGAAAACCAAUGGCUUCGGUUGCAGCUGUACGUAAGGAAUUUGAAAUGCCGUCCCACAGUUCCCUUUUACCGAGUUGUUGACGAGUGCUCUCAGAGAGCAGCAGUGCAAGCCGAGUAGAAAAUCGUUCAGCUGUCUGUUGUGAUCACAGCUUCUCGACGUCGAACCUUCCUUGUAUUUGUUGGCGUGCGUUUUUUGCUGCACAGAGGCGGGUGCGAAUCUUGGCUGCAACAAGAUAGUGGUCCGAGUCGAUGUUAGGACCUCGGAGCGCACGCAUAUCUAAAACACUGGAGACGUGUCUUCCGUCUAUCACAACAUGAUCGAUCUGGUUGGUAGUUUUUCGAUCCGGAGACAGCCAGGUAGCGUGAUGAAUCUUUUUAUGCUGGAAUCUAGUACUACGGAUAACCAUAUUUCGGGCUCCGGCGAAGUCGAUCAGCUUCAACCCAUUUGGGGAUGUUUCGUUUUGGAGGCUGAAUUUACCGACCGUAGUGCCAAAGAUACCUUCUUUGCCCACCCUGGUGUUAAGGUCGCCAAGCACGAUUUCUUGGACGGCGGUGAUGUCAGCCUUUAUUUUUGCGAGGACAUCAACCAGCUGGGCAGCGGCACCUUCCCAAUUAAUGGUCCGGACAUUCCAGGUGCAUGCCCUCAAAUCGUAGUCCUUAUGCCAUCGACUUUUCAAAAUUACAAAUGACUGGUUUGAUCUAAUGAAUGUUAGGGUGCCUAAAGAUGGAGUGAGGGAACGCUUGCACGCCUACGGUUUGGCUUUGAACAAGCAAAAUAAUCUACUGGAACAGAUGACGGAGAUGGUUUCAUCAAUGAGAGUCAUUGGUAAAAAUGGUUUGCUUCCAUUCCAAAAAGGUAUACUCCAAAGCAAUAAUCCUUUAAAAUUGCUGCUGGAUGACUUAAGACAGCAGUACAAAAUUGAUUACGUUUUGACCUACCGAUUAAGCCAGGACGUUUUGGAAAUUUUUUUUGGCAUAAUCAAGUCAAAAGGCGGUCUUCACGAUCACCCUGACAGGCAGGAGUUCAAAUAUAGGCUGCGUUCCUAUAUACUUGGUCACAACGAAGCAGCGAUCACGGAAGAAGGAAAUGUUGAAGUCGACAACACACCAGAUUUGGAAGGGAACUACUUACAUAUCUCUAACCGAUAAUAUUUUUCAACGUGUGUCAGUUGAUCUAAAUUCCACUGAAUAAAUUGAAAAAAAUGACGACUUGGAGAUUCUCAACAACGACGGGCUUGAAAAUUUGGCAGGGUACAUCUGCCACAAACUUGGUAAAGUUAACCCCGAAAUUUGUUCAAUUCAGAAAAUUGUUCGUCUUAUACUAAGGUGGAUCACCUAUCUGAAGGAGGACUCUCAAAAUCAACAAAUAUGUUGAUGGAGCAUAUGAGAGCCUUGCAAGCAGUAUUUGACGACUUAAAUGGUACUGAUUUGCAUGUACAUAUGUACAAAUUACGUCCAGAAGCACUAAGAUUUAAGUAAUUUUGUAAAUUGUAGCACCAAAGUAAAAUAAUUGUUUUUCAGAGCUACAAUGUAUUUUAGGAUUCGUUCCUUAAAUAAAAGCUAAAUUGAACAGUAAAAAAAGAAAAUUAAAUAAGACAACAAAUUGAUACUUGGUCACAAAAUA
Molecule: long non-coding RNA, 4240 nt
Organism: Bactrocera neohumeralis
Lineage: Eukaryota; Metazoa; Arthropoda; Insecta; Diptera; Tephritidae
Exons: 6
Source: RefSeq, a predicted model, not a curated record